CCUACGGGAGGCUGCAGUGGGGAAUAUUGGGCAAUGGGCGCAAGCCUGACGCAGCGACGCCGCGUGAAGGAAGAAGUCUUUCGGGUUGUAAACUUCUUUUCGCAGGGACGAAGCUGGUGGCGGUACCUUAAGAAUAAGCCACGGCCAACUACGUGCCAGCAGCCGCGGUACGACGAGGGGGGCAAUCGUUAUCCGGAUGUGCUGGGUGUAAAGGGCGUGUAGGCGGGGCGGCAAGUCAGAUGUGAAACCCCAGGGCUCAACCUUGGGGCUGCAUUGGAAACUGUGGUUCUUGAGUACGGGAGAGGCAGACGGAAUUCCUAGUGUAGCGGUGAAAUGCGUAGAUAUUAGGAGGAACACUAGUGGCGAAGGCGGUCUGCUGGACAGCAACUGACGCUGAGGCGCGAAAGCGUGGGGAGCAAACAGGAUUAGAUACCCCAGUAGUC
Molecule: ribosomal RNA, 443 nt
Filed under: uncultured bacterium
Lineage: Bacteria
Description: partial 16S ribosomal RNA
Rfam family: Bacterial small subunit ribosomal RNA
Source: RNAcentral